RNAcentral lists this ribosomal RNA (440 nucleotides) under uncultured bacterium. RNAcentral's name for it is "partial 16S ribosomal RNA". It matches the Rfam family "Bacterial small subunit ribosomal RNA", at positions 338 to 795 of the family's 1533-position model. The record is from RNAcentral.
CCUACGGGAGGCAGCAGUGGGGAAUAUUGCACAAUGGGGGAAACCCUGAUGCAGCAACGCCGCGUGAGUGAAGAAGUAUUUCGGUAUGUAAAGCUCUAUCAGCAGGGAAGAGAAUGACGGUACCUGACUAAGAAGCCCCGGCUAACUACGUGCCAGCAGCCGCGGUAAUACGUAGGGGGCGAGCGUUAUCCGGAUUUACUGGGUGUAAAGGGAGCGUAGACGGUGCUGCAAGUCAGAAGUGAAAGCCCGGGGCUUAACCGCGGAACGGCUUUGGAAACUGUGGAACUGGAGUGCUGGAGAGGCAAGCGGAAUUCCUGGUGUAGCGGUGAAAUGCGUAGAUAUUAGGAGGAACACCAGUGGCGAAGGCGGCUUGCUGGACAGUAACUGACGUUGAGGCUCGAAAGCGUGGGGAGCAAACAGGAUUAGAUACCCUAGAAGUC